AAAACCAAAACGAAUAAAAAAGUUGGUGUUUGCUGCUAGUAGUAGUUCUUGGAAAUGAAUGCAGCCCUCCUCAUGAUGCAAGGCAUUUAGUGAGAGCAUUCAAACCACUUGCAAGAGUUUGGUGAGAGGAGGGAGGCUGUGAGAUUUGUUCUGCAUCUGAGCUAAGCUUAAGCUCAAGCUCAAGCUAAGCUAAAGCUUCAUCCCUGUGCUUCCUAGCUGUGUUCUUCAGUUCUCCUCUUCCUAGAUUUGGAGAUUUAGCCAGUCCACUGCAAUUAUUCUUGCUGAAAAGCAGAAAAAGAGGAGAGUCAAAUCUUUAGUUUUUCUUUACAUAUAUUUUUGCUGCUCUCUUCUUUGAUGCUGGGUGCCCUUUUCUUUAAUUUGAGUUCUUGAUCCUGCCAAAAGCAAAAGCCCUCACUUUUAGCUGAGGAGGAUGAGAGGAGAGUCCAAAAGGAAAAGGUGAAGAGUGUCCUCCUUGCAUCUCAAACCCUCCACCCUCCAAACUCCUUCAAAGCAAAAGCUCCAAUUUUUACCACAAAAUCUGCAUCUCCCACUGUUUCCACACUACCAAAUCCAUUUUCCCACCCGGAAACCCUCAAAUUCCUUCAUCUCAGACCUCCAUUGCCAUUCUGCCGGCGUUGUUGAUGCAAGAAAUGCCCAGUUUCUUUCACUUGUGAGCUCUUGAUCCAUAGUUCUCCAAAGAUCCAAUUUUUAGUCCGCCCAAAGCUGCAGUUUUUCCGCAGCUGCUGAUCCGAAAUCUCGGAUUUUUUUUGCUCCACUCGAUGCCUCCUCACUCCACUCGUUGAUCCAAAACUGCCACGAAGAAGAAGCUGCGAUUUCUCCGGCUGCUCGAUCCCUAUGCAUCUCUCCCUAUGGAAGCCCCUCUCCCACUGCGCCGCCGUCUUCCUGGCCAAGAAUCACCGGCGCC
This 925-nucleotide long non-coding RNA is filed under the name Oryza brachyantha (malo sina). RNAcentral's name for it is "long non-coding RNA (OBRA_LNC003315)". The record is from RNAcentral. Lineage: Eukaryota; Viridiplantae; Streptophyta; Magnoliopsida; Poales; Poaceae.